This 254-nucleotide ribosomal RNA is filed under the name uncultured bacterium. RNAcentral describes it as "partial 16S ribosomal RNA". It matches the Rfam family "Bacterial small subunit ribosomal RNA", at positions 524 to 776 of the family's 1533-position model. The record is from RNAcentral.
UAUAGAGGUCCCGAGCGUUGUUCGGAUUCAUUGGGCGUAAAGGGCGCGUAGGCGGCCAGCGCAAGUCAGUUGUGAAAUCUCCGAGCUUAACUCGGAAAGGUCAACUGAUACUGCGCGGCUAGAGUGCAGAAGGGGCAACUGGAAUUCUCGGUGUAGCGGUGAAAUGCGUAGAUAUCGAGAGGAACACCUGCGGCGAAGGCGGGUUGCUGGGCUGACACUGACGCUGAGGCGCGAAAGCUAGGGGAGCGAACGGG